Molecule: ribosomal RNA, 476 nt
Filed under: uncultured Desulfobulbus sp.
Lineage: Bacteria; Pseudomonadati; Thermodesulfobacteriota; Desulfobulbia; Desulfobulbales; Desulfobulbaceae
Description: bacterial SSU rRNA
Rfam family: Bacterial small subunit ribosomal RNA
Source: RNAcentral
UUGACGGGGCCCGCACAAGCGGUGGAGUAUGUGGUUAAUUCGAUGCAACGCGAAGAACCUUACCUGGUCUUGACAUCCCGGAGACCCUUAGGAAACUAGGGGGUGCUUCCAUCUGGAAGAAUCUGGAGACAGGUGCUGCAUGGCUGUCGUCAGCUCGUGUCGUGAGAUGUUGGGUUAAGUCCCGCAACGAGCGCAACCCUUGCCUUUAGUUGCCAGCAGUUCGGCUGGGCACUCUAAAGGGACUGCCGGUGUUAAACCGGAGGAAGGUGGGGAUGACGUCAAGUCCUCAUGGCCUUUAUGACCAGGGCUACACACGUACUACAAUGGCCGAUACAAAGGGCAGCGACACUGCGAGGUGAAGCCAAUCCCGUAAAAUCGGUCUCAGUCCGGAUUGGAGUCUGCAACUCGACUCCAUGAAGUUGGAAUCGCUAGUAAUCGUGGAUCAGCAUGCCACGGUGAAUACGUUCCCGGGCCUU